AACGAACGCUGGCGGCAUGCCUAACACAUGCAAGUCGAACGAGACCUUCGGGUCUAGUGGCGCACGGGUGCGUAACGCGUGGGAACCUGCCCUUAGGUUCGGAAUAACUCCCCGAAAGGGGUGCUAAUACCGGAUAAUGUCGUCGGACCAAAGAUUUAUCGCCUUUGGAUGGGCCCGCGUUGGAUUAGCUAGUUGGUAGGGUAAAAGCCUACCAAGGCGACGAUCCAUAGCUGGUCUGAGAGGAUGAUCAGCCACACUGGGACUGAGACACGGCCCAGACUCCUACGGGAGGCAGCAGUGGGGAAUAUUGGACAAUGGGCGAAAGCCUGAUCCAGCAAUGCCGCGUGAGUGAUGAAGGCCUUAGGGUUGUAAAGCUCUUUUACCCGGGAUGAUAAUGACAGUACCGGGAGAAUAAGCGCCGGCUAACUCCGUG
Molecule: ribosomal RNA, 433 nt
Filed under: uncultured bacterium
Lineage: Bacteria
Description: partial 16S ribosomal RNA
Rfam family: Bacterial small subunit ribosomal RNA
Source: RNAcentral